RNAcentral lists this ribosomal RNA (253 nucleotides) under uncultured bacterium. Its description in RNAcentral is "partial 16S ribosomal RNA". It matches the Rfam family "Bacterial small subunit ribosomal RNA", at positions 524 to 776 of the family's 1533-position model. The record is from RNAcentral.
UACGUAGGAGGCGAGCGUUGUCCGGAUUUACUGGGCGUAAAGCGUGCGCAGGCGGUGAUGUAAGACAGAUGUGAAAUCCCCGGGCUCAACCUGGGAACUGCAUUUGUGACUGCAUCGCUGGAGUACGGCAGAGGGGGAUGGAAUUCCGCGUGUAGCAGUGAAAUGCGUAGAUAUGCGGAGGAACACCGAUGGCGAAGGCAGCCCCCUGGGCUAACACUGACGCUCAUGCACGAAAGCGUGGGGAGCAAACAGG